UGAAUACGAGAUGCUACGGCGUCGAAGCAGUCUAUGUCAUACUUCCAAGAAAAGCUCGCACUGUCAUAAACAAAUAAUGCCUGUACCAUAACCGACACAGGUGGGUAGGUAGAGUAUACUAAGGGGCGCGAGAUAACUCUCUCUAAGGAACUCGGCAAAAUGACUCCGUAACUUCGGGAGAAGGAGUGCCUUAUUUAUAAGGUUGCAAUAACAAGAUCCAAGCAACUGUUUAUCAAAAACACAGGUCUCCGCUAAGUCGUAAGACGAUGUAUGGGGGCUGACGCCUGCCCAGUGCCAGAAGGUUAAAGAAGUUGGUUAGCAUUCGCGAAGCUGAUAACUGAAGCCCUGGUGAUCGGCGGCCGUAACAAUAACGGUCCUAAGGUAGCGAAAUUCCUUGUCGGGUAAGUUCCGACCCGCACGAAAGGCGUAAUGAUUUGGAUACUGUCUCGGAGAGGGGCUCGGUGAAAUAGACUUGUCUGUGAAGAUGCGGACUACCUGCACCAGGACAGAAAGACCCUAUGAAGCUUUACUGUAACUUGAGAUUGAAAUUGGACUUUACUUGCGCAGUAUAGGUGGGAGGCGUUGAUAAUAUUCUUGCGGGAUUAUUUGAGCCAUCAGUGAGAUACCACUCUUGUAAUGUUAGAUUUCUAACUUUGUAUCAUUAUCUGGUCAAAGGACAGUUUCAGGCGGGCAGUUUGACUGGGGCGGUCGCCUCCUAAACGGUAACGGAGGCGCACAAAGGUUUCCUCUGAACGGGUAGAAAUCGUAUCUAGAGUGUAAAGGCAUAAGGAAGCUUGACUGUGAGACCUACAAGUCGAGCAGGGGCGAAAGUCGGUCUUAGUGAUCUGACGGUGCUGAGUGGAAAGGCCGUCACUCAACGGAUAAAAGUUACUCUAAGGAUAACAGGCUGAUCUCCCCCAAGAGUUCACAUCGACGGGGAGGUUUGGCACCUCGAUGUCGGCUCAUCGCAUCCUGGGGCGGUAGUACGUCCCAAGGGUUGGGCUGUUCGCCCAUGAAAGCGGUACGCGAGCUGGGUUCAGAACGUCGUGAGACAGUUCGGUCCAUAUCCGGUGUAGGCGUUAGAAUAUUGAGAGGAGCCUUCUUUAGUACGAGAGGACCGAGAAGGACAUACCUCUGGUGUACCAGUUAUCGUGCCAACGGUAAACGCUGGGUAGCUAUGUAUGGAGUGGAUAACCGCUGAAAGCAUCUAAGUGGGAAGCCCACCUCAAGAUAAG
RNAcentral lists this ribosomal RNA (1235 nucleotides) under metagenome. Its description in RNAcentral is "bacterial LSU rRNA". It matches the Rfam family "Bacterial large subunit ribosomal RNA", at positions 1564 to 2808 of the family's 2925-position model. The record is from RNAcentral.